GACGAACGCUGGCGGCGUGCUUAACACAUGCAAGUCGAACGGAAAGGCCCUGCUUUUGUGGGGUGCUCGAGUGGCGAACGGGUGAGUAACACGUGAGUAACCUGCCCUUGACUUUGGGAUAACUUCAGGAAACUGGGGCUAAUACCGGAUAGGAGCUCCUGCUGCAUGGUGGGGGUUGGAGAGUUUCGGCGGUUGGGGAUGGACUCGCGGCUUAUCAGCUUGUUGGUGGGGUAGUGGCUUACCAAGGCUUUGACGGGUAGCCGGCCUGAGAGGGUGACCGGCCACAUUGGGACUGAGAUACGGCCCAGACUCCUACGGGAGGCAGCAGUGGGGAAUAUUGCACAAUGGGCGGAAGCCUGAUGCAGCAACGCCGCGUGCGGGAUGACGGCCUUCGGGUUGUAAACCGCUUUCGCCUGUGACGAAGCGUGAGUGACGGUAAUGGGUAAAGAAGCACCGGCUAACUACGUGCCAGCAGCCGCGGUGAUACGUAGGGUGCGAGCGUUGUCCGGAUUUAUUGGGCGUAAAGGGCUCGUAGGUGGUUGAUCGCGUCGGAAGUGUAAUCUUGGGACUUAACCCUGAGCGUGCUUUCGAUACGGGUUGACUUGAGGAAGGUAGGGGAGAAUGGAAUUCCUGGUGGAGCGGUGGAAUGCGCAAAUAUCAGGAGGAACACCAGUGGCGAAGGCGGUUCUCUGGGCCUUUCCUGACGCUGAGGAGCGAAAGCGUGGGGAGCGAACAGGCUUAGAUACCCUGGUAGUCCACGCUGUAAACGGUGGGUACUAGGUGUGGGGUCCAUUCCACGGGUUCCGUGCCGUAGCUAACGCUUUAAGUACCCCGCCUGGGGAGUACGGCCGCAAGGCUAAAACUCAAAGGAAUUGACGGGGCCCCGCACAAGCGGCGGAGCAUGCGGAUUAAUUCGAUGCAACGCGUAGAACCUUACCUGGGCUUGACAUAUAGAGGAUCGCUACAGAGAUGUGGUUUCCCUUGUGGCUUCUAUACAGGUGGUGCAUGGUUGUCGUCAGCUCGUGUCGUGAGAUGUUGGGUUAAGUCCCGCAACGAGCGCAACCCUUGUCUUAUGUUGCCAGCACGUUAUGGUGGGGACUCGUGAGAGACUGCCGGGGUCAACUCGGAGGAAGGUGGGGAUGACGUCAAAUCAUCAUGCCCCUUAUGUCCAGGGCUUCACACAUGCUACAAUGGCCGGUACAGAGGGCUGCGAUGCCGUGAGGCGGAGCGAAUCUCUUAAAGCCGGUCUCAGUUCGGAUUGGGGUCUGCAACUCGACCCCAUGAAGUCGGAGUCGCUAGUAAUCGCAGAUCAGCAACGCUGCGGUGAAUACGUUCCCGGGCCU
RNAcentral lists this ribosomal RNA (1343 nucleotides) under uncultured bacterium. RNAcentral describes it as "bacterial SSU rRNA". It matches the Rfam family "Bacterial small subunit ribosomal RNA", at positions 28 to 1381 of the family's 1533-position model. The record is from RNAcentral.